UCAGCAGAACAAUGGGAAGGGAGCAAGAUAGCAGCUCCCGAUAUACCCCUUCACUGCUUCUUUCUCAGAUGCACAAAGUAUCUUAUUCUGCUUAACCUGAAAGGCGUCCAUCAUGUUCAGCCCACAAAGAAUAACUCUGAACUCUGAAGCUCUACACACGGCAGAUAUUGUUAGCCAUCUUUUGUCUUUAGUCAUCCUUUGACUAUAGUGGCCAACAGCUGCCCAUGUAUACAUAUGCAGAACCAAGGAGGUCCUACCGAACAUGCUGGAAAAUUCAUGAGGGAAAACCCACUGAUGCCAAAUGCUUACUGGGCCUCUGCCAUUUGAUCUGGUGGCUGCCUGUACUGUCAAAUCUGGCUGAAAGUUUGUAGAUAACCUGGUCUGUCCAUUUAGCUGCUAGGAGUAGCCAUUUUCAUAUGUGGAUAUGGAACUCAUUUAAUAAUUACAGUAAAACAUUAAAACUAUAUUAUGCAAUAAAUCCUGAUGAAUAAUA
Xenopus tropicalis (tropical clawed frog) is the source of this 493-nucleotide long non-coding RNA. RefSeq lists it as uncharacterized. The record is from RefSeq and is a predicted model, not a curated record. Lineage: Eukaryota; Metazoa; Chordata; Amphibia; Anura; Pipidae. The transcript is spliced from 2 exons.